UACGAAGGGGGCUAGCGUUGCUCGGAAUGACUGGGCGUAAAGGGCGCGUAGGCGGCGCAUUUAGUCAGGCGUGAAAUUCCUGGGCUCAACCUGGGGACUGCGCUUGAUACGGGUGUGCUUGAGGAUGGAAGAGGCUCGCGGAAUUCCCAGUGUAGAGGUGAAAUUCGUAGAUAUUGGGAAGAACACCGGUGGCGAAGGCGGCGAGCUGGUCCAUUACUGACGCUGAGGCGCGACAGCGUGGGGAGCAAACAGG
This 253-nucleotide ribosomal RNA is filed under the name uncultured bacterium. RNAcentral's name for it is "partial 16S ribosomal RNA". It matches the Rfam family "Bacterial small subunit ribosomal RNA", at positions 524 to 776 of the family's 1533-position model. The record is from RNAcentral.